GCCAGACUCCUACGGGAGGCAGCAGUGGGGAAUAUUGCACAAUGGGGGAAACCCUGAUGCAGCAACGCCGCGUGAGUGAGGAAGUAUUUCGGUAUGUAAAGCUCUAUCAGCAGGGAAUAGAAAAGAAGGUACCUGAAAAAGAAGCCCCGGCUAACUACGUGCCAGCAGCCGCGGUAAUACGUAGGUGGCAAGCGUUGUCCGGAUUUACUGGGUGUAAAGGGCGUGCAGCCGGGCCGACAAGUCAGAUGUGAAAUCCGCGGGCUUAACCCGCGAACUGCAUUUGAAACUAUUGGUCUUGAGUACCGGAGAGGUCAUCGGAAUUCCUUGUGUAGCGGUGAAAUGCGUAGAUAUAAGGAAGAACACCAGUGGCGAAGGCGGAUGACUGGACGGCAACUGACGGUGAGGCGCGAAAGCGUGGGGAGCAAACAGGAUUAGAUACCCGAGUAG
This 447-nucleotide ribosomal RNA is filed under the name uncultured bacterium. Its description in RNAcentral is "partial 16S ribosomal RNA". It matches the Rfam family "Bacterial small subunit ribosomal RNA", at positions 330 to 793 of the family's 1533-position model. The record is from RNAcentral.